CCUACGGGAGGCAGCAGUGAGGAAUAUUGGUCAAUGGGCGGAAGCCUGAACCAGCCAAGUCGCGUGAGGGAAUAAGGCCCUACGGGUCGUAAACCUCUUUUGCCGGGGAGCAAGUGCCGGGACGCGUCCCGGCCCGGAGAGUACCCGGAGAAAAAGCAUCGGCUAACUCCGUGCCAGCAGCCGCGGUAAUACGGAGGAUGCGAGCGUUAUCCGGAUUUAUUGGGUUUAAAGGGUGCGUAGGCGGAAUGCGAAGUCAGCGGUAAAAUUGCGGGGCUCAACCUCGCUGCGCCGUUGAAACUGGCGUUCUUGAGUGGGCGAGAAGUAUGCGGAAUGCGUGGUGUAGCGGUGAAAUGCAUAGAUAGCACGCAGAACUCCGAUUGCGAAGGCAGCUUACUAAACUGCCACUGACAUGGAUGCUCGAAAGUGUGGGUAUCAAACAGGAUUAGAUACCCGGGUAGUC
This 460-nucleotide ribosomal RNA is filed under the name uncultured bacterium. RNAcentral describes it as "partial 16S ribosomal RNA". It matches the Rfam family "Bacterial small subunit ribosomal RNA", at positions 338 to 795 of the family's 1533-position model. The record is from RNAcentral.